UACGUAGGGUGCAAGCGUUAUCCAGAUUUACUGGGCGUAAAGCGCACGCAGGCGGAUGACUAAGUCAGCUGUGAAAGCCCCCGGCUCAACUGGGGAGAGUCGGCUGAAACUGGUUGUCUUGAGGGCAGCAGAGGAGUGUGGAAUUGCGGGUGUAGUGGUGAAAUGCGUAGAUAUCCGCAGGAACACCGGUGGCGAAGGCGGCACUCUGGGCUGUACCUGACGCUGAUGUGCGAAGGCUGGGGGAGCGAACAGG
RNAcentral lists this ribosomal RNA (253 nucleotides) under uncultured bacterium. RNAcentral describes it as "partial 16S ribosomal RNA". It matches the Rfam family "Bacterial small subunit ribosomal RNA", at positions 524 to 776 of the family's 1533-position model. The record is from RNAcentral.